GAUGGACUGGAGAGAUGGCUCAG
This 23-nucleotide non-coding RNA is filed under the name Cricetulus griseus (Chinese hamster). The record is from RNAcentral. Lineage: Eukaryota; Metazoa; Chordata; Mammalia; Rodentia; Cricetidae.